Molecule: long non-coding RNA, 982 nt
Filed under: Chrysolophus pictus (golden pheasant)
Lineage: Eukaryota; Metazoa; Chordata; Aves; Galliformes; Phasianidae
Description: lncRNA (ENSCPIG00010014452.1)
Source: RNAcentral
GGAAGUAGAACAGUUGAAAAAAUGGGCUCCAUUAACACAAUCUUAAAUAAUCAAGUAAAUCACUUAAACAUUUUCUUAAAUAUUUUCUAUAACUAUUGUAAAUUUCCAGUAUUUGAUGUUCUUUGCAGAGGUCCAACUAUUGAAAUCAAUAUGUUUUAGGAUCAUCUGGGCCCCAAGUUAAAAACACUUCAUAGUUGAAAGUUUUUCAGUUGAGCAAUGUAGUAUGAAACAUGAAGCAGGAAAACCCUGAAAGCAGCUGAAGGAGAAGUAAAAAAUAAAUACGUGAACAUGCUCCCACUUGAUUUCAAAACUGCAGCGCUUUUGAAAUCGUAAUUCUUUUGUAGGUCCUGACUUUUGUGUUCCGAACACUUGGGAUUGGCCAUGCUUCAACAAGCAGAUUCAUGUGAGUUUUUGCAAUCAGGAGAAAAAAAAAAAGCAUUCAAGAAAAGGAACACUGCACCUUACGUACAGAGUCUACUUAUCAACAGUUAAAUCACCUUGCAGAGUGAGGCUCCUGGUUUAUGUGCUGUGCAACGUGGGGGCGGGACCCACGAGUUUAAAAGCAGAGGCAAGGAUGCAAAACAUUUCUAUUGCAAUGAAAGAUGGAGUUGAUGAGUACCUUGCAAGACUGGGCCACCACUACUUCAAGGAUGAUCCCACAUUCUGGGGACCUCAGGAAAUGCACCAAUGCAGUCUACUCAGUGACUUGCUAAAUAAAUAAGUGCUAAAUCACAUCAACCUCUGCAAGAAGUCAGGAAAAAAUGGAAAAUGUGUCGCUGCUGUCAUCCCAAGUUUUGUUUGCAUUUAUUUACAUUAAAGCUCUUGUUUCUGUAGGACUUUUGAGGCUGAUUUUGUUCUUGUCUCUUCUGGGUUUCAAGAAUAUAUUGUAAGCACUACGUCAAGUCUCAGUGUUGCUUGUAUUACAUCUACAUACUGCAAAAUCAUGUGGUCUGAAUUAUGCUCCUAGGAAAGCAUAUUAGCA